AGAGUUUGAUCCUGGCUCAGGAUGAACGCUGGCGGCGUGCUUAACACAUGCAAGUCGAACGGUGAAAGAGAGCUUGCUCUCUGGAUCAGUGGCGAACGGGUGAGUAACACGUGAGCAAUCUGCCCCUGACUCUGGGAUAAGCGCUGGAAACGGCGUCUAAUACCGGAUACGAGCUGUGAAGGCAUCUUCAACAGCUGGAAAGAACUUCGGUCAGGGAUGAGCUCGCGGCCUAUCAGCUAGUUGGUGAGGUAAUGGCUCACCAAGGCGUCGACGGGUAGCCGGCCUGAGAGGGUGACCGGCCACACUGGGACUGAGACACGGCCCAGACUCCUACGGGAGGCAGCAGUGGGGAAUAUUGCACAAUGGGCGCAAGCCUGAUGCAGCAACGCCGCGUGAGGGACGACGGCCUUCGGGUUGUAAACCUCUUUUAGCAAGGAAGAAGCGAAAGUGACGGUACUUGCAGAAAAAGCGCCGGCUAACUACGUGCCAGCAGCCGCGGUAAU
Molecule: ribosomal RNA, 503 nt
Filed under: soil bacterium RFS-I9
Lineage: Bacteria
Description: bacterial SSU rRNA
Rfam family: Bacterial small subunit ribosomal RNA
Source: RNAcentral